Non-coding RNA from Gopherus evgoodei (Goodes thornscrub tortoise), 72 nucleotides. The record is from the annotation of a RefSeq genome assembly. NCBI's taxonomy places the organism in Eukaryota, Metazoa, Chordata, Testudines, Testudinidae.
UCUCUGGUGGUCUAGUGGUUAGGAUUUGGCACUUUCACUGUCAACGCUUGGGUUCAAUUCCCAGCCAGGGAA